RNAcentral lists this ribosomal RNA (325 nucleotides) under uncultured eukaryote. RNAcentral's name for it is "partial 18S ribosomal RNA". It matches the Rfam family "Eukaryotic small subunit ribosomal RNA", at positions 1470 to 1796 of the family's 1831-position model. The record is from RNAcentral.
CCCUUAGAUGUUCUGGGCCGCACGCGCGCUACACUGAUGCAUUCAACGAGCCUAUCCUUGACCGACAGGUCCGGGUAAUCUUUGAAUCUGCAUCGUGACGGGGAUAGAUUAUUGCAAUUAUUAAUCUUCAACGAGGAAUGCCUAGUAGGCGCAAGUCAUCAGCUUGCGUCGAUUACGUCCCUGCCCUUUGUACACACCGCCCGUCGCUCCUACCGAUUGGGUGUGCUGGUGAAAUGUUCGGAUCGGCCGUUUGUCGCGGUUUCCGCGUCAUGUGGCUGAGAAGUUAAUUAAACCCUCCCACCUAGAGGAAGGAGAAGUCGUAACA